CUUGUCUGCACUCCCGUUCUUU
This 22-nucleotide microRNA is filed under the name Ciona intestinalis (vase tunicate). RNAcentral describes it as "cin-miR-4115-5p". The record is from miRBase by way of RNAcentral. Lineage: Eukaryota; Metazoa; Chordata; Ascidiacea; Phlebobranchia; Cionidae.